Molecule: ribosomal RNA, 254 nt
Filed under: uncultured bacterium
Lineage: Bacteria
Description: partial 16S ribosomal RNA
Rfam family: Bacterial small subunit ribosomal RNA
Source: RNAcentral
UACGGGGGGAGCAAGCGUUGUUCGGAUUUACUGGGCGUAAAGGGCGCGUAGGCGGUCGUGACAAGUCACUUGUGAAAUCUCCGGGCUUAACUCGGAACGGUCAAGUGAUACUGUCGGACUAGAGUACAGAAGGGGCAACUGGAAUUCUCGGUGUAGCGGUGAAAUGCGUAGAUAUCGAGAGGAACACCUGCGGCGAAGGCGGGUUGCUGGGCAUUAACUGACGCUGAGGAGCGAAAGCAUGGGGAGCGAACAGG